This 167-nucleotide ribosomal RNA is filed under the name Staphylococcus arlettae CVD059. RNAcentral's name for it is "partial 16S ribosomal RNA". It matches the Rfam family "Bacterial small subunit ribosomal RNA", at positions 1 to 161 of the family's 1533-position model. The record is from RNAcentral. Lineage: Bacteria; Bacillati; Bacillota; Bacilli; Caryophanales; Staphylococcaceae.
UUUUUAUGGAGAGUUUGAUCCUGGCUCAGGAUGAACGCUGGCGGCGUGCCUAAUACAUGCAAGUCGAGCGAACAGAUAAGGAGCUUGCUCCUUUGACGUUAGCGGCGGACGGGUGAGUAACACGUGGGUAACCUACCUAUAAGACUGGAAUAACUCCGGGAACCGGG